Non-coding RNA from Paramormyrops kingsleyae, 732 nucleotides. The record is from RefSeq and is a predicted model, not a curated record. Lineage: Eukaryota; Metazoa; Chordata; Actinopteri; Osteoglossiformes; Mormyridae.
GCAAGCGGCAGGAGGACGUGGGACAAUGAGGAGGCGUCAUUAAACCUGUAAUUAACACUUUCUCCCUGCGGAGUGCAGCUCGAAAGUGUGGAUCAGAUGGAGAAGUGCUGUCUUUGUAAUAUCUUGAGCCCUUGACAGGAUAUCAUCAUAUACUGUAAGUUCGUUAUAGAGACACUACAGUAUAGAUGAUGUACUAUCCAGGGUGUCAGUCAGCCGCCAGACUCAGACCGACGCGCAGACACCCCCCAGGGAUUCCGUCUGAGGGUGGCGAUUAAACCGUUACCAUUACUGAGUUUUAGUAAUGGUAAGGGUUCUAUCGCUUCUCUUCACUGCCAUCUGCAGCUGAUAAACCCCCCCCCCUCCCAGGCAAGCAGUGACUUGUAAAACUGGAAAGUGUGGAGAAAAAGACUUUUGAAAAUGACGGACAGUCAAGAUUCCGUUGUGUAACCUUUAGUUUAAAGUAAACGAAUAAUGAAAUAAUUCCAUUUUUUGGCAUUUAGUAAAGUGUUUAGAAUGGUGAUUAAGCUGUAUAAUUUGACUCCUUAUAAUAUAAAUGAUAUGAGUUUUGAGCUUUCUAAAAUAUAGCAGUUAAAAUAUUUUUUUAUGUAUUAUAUAUUUUAUAUAAUUAUAUUUAUAUUGUAAAGCACAACAAGCAACAUUAAAAAAGGAACAUUAAAUGAUGAAUGAGCAUAUGGUUUUGGAAAUGUUUGGAAAUAAAAGAUGUUCAACUGA